RNAcentral lists this ribosomal RNA (392 nucleotides) under uncultured bacterium. Its description in RNAcentral is "bacterial SSU rRNA". It matches the Rfam family "Bacterial small subunit ribosomal RNA", at positions 28 to 422 of the family's 1533-position model. The record is from RNAcentral.
GACGAACGCUGGCGGCGUGCUUAACACAUGCAAGUCGAGCGGUAAGGCCCUUUCGGGGGUACACGAGCGGCGAACGGGUGAGUAACACGUGGGUGACCUGCCCUCAGCUCUGGGAUAAGCCUGGGAAACCGGGUCUAAUACCGGAUAUGACUCCAUGACGCAUGUUGUGGGGUGAAAGCCUUGUGCGGCUGAGGAUGGGCCCGCGGCCUAUCAGCUUGUUGGUGGGGUGAUGGCCUACCAAGGCGACGACGGGUAGCCGGCCUGAGAGGGCGACCGGCCACACUGGGACUGAGACACGGCCCAGACUCCUACGGGAGGCAGCAGUGGGGAAUCUUGCGCAAUGGGCGAAAGCCUGACGCAGCGACGCCGCGUGAGGGAUGACGGCCUGGUGU